This 458-nucleotide ribosomal RNA is filed under the name uncultured bacterium. RNAcentral describes it as "bacterial SSU rRNA". It matches the Rfam family "Bacterial small subunit ribosomal RNA", at positions 53 to 507 of the family's 1533-position model. The record is from RNAcentral.
ACAUGCAAGCCGAGCGGUAUUUCUUCUUCGGGAGAGAGAGAGCGGCGUACGGGUGCGGAACACGUGUGCAACCUGCCUUUAUCUAGAGGAUAGCCUUUCGAAAGGAAGAUUAAUACUCUAUAAUAUAUAAUUGGCAUCAAUUGAUAUUGAAAACUCCGGUGGAUAGAGAUGGGCACGCGCAAGAUUAGCUAGUUGGUGAGGUAAAGGCUCACCAAGGCGACGAUCCGUAGCUGGUUUGAGAGGACGACCAGCCACACUGGGACUGAGACACGGCCCAGACUCCUACGGGAGGCAGCAGUGGGGAAUUUUGGACAAUGGGGGAAACCCUGAUCCAGCCAUUCCGCGUGUGCGAUGAAGGCCUUCGGGUUGUAAAGCACUUUUGGCAGGAAAGAAAUCGCACCAAUUAAUACUUGGUGUGGAUGACGGUACCUGCAGAAUAAGCACCGGCUAACUACGUG